GCCUAUGACCAAAUCACCCAGAAUGCGCCCAAUUUCGUCAGAUCUCGGAAGCUCAGCAGGAUGGAGCCUGCAUCGUGCUUGGAUGGGCGACCACCACCUUGCACAACAGGUGUUAUAGGGA
This 121-nucleotide ribosomal RNA is filed under the name Petromyzon marinus (sea lamprey). Lineage: Eukaryota; Metazoa; Chordata; Hyperoartia; Petromyzontiformes; Petromyzontidae. The record is from RNAcentral.